CCUACGGGUGGCAGCAGUGAGGAAUAUUGGUCAAUGGACGAGAGUCUGAACCAGCCAAGUAGCGUGAAGGAUGACUGCCCUAUGGGUUGUAAACUUCUUUUAUAAAGGAAUAAAACGAGGCACGUGUGCCUUGUUGCAUGUACUUUAUGAAUAAGGAUCGGCUAAAUCCGUGCCAGCAGCCGAGGUAAUACGGGGGAUCCGAGCGUUAUCCGGAUUUAUUGCGUUUAAAGGGAGCGUAGAUGGGUUGUUAAGUCAGUUGUGAAAGUUUGCGGCUCAACCGUAAAAUUGCAAUUGAUACUGGCAGUCUUGAGUACAGUUGAGGUAGGCGGAAUUCGUGGUGUAGCGGUGAAAUGCUUAGAUAUCACGAAGAACCCCGAUUGCGAAGGCAGCUUACUAAACUGUGACUGACAUUGAUGCUCGAAAGUGUGGGUAUCAAACAGGAUUAGAUACCCUGGUAGUC
RNAcentral lists this ribosomal RNA (460 nucleotides) under uncultured bacterium. RNAcentral describes it as "partial 16S ribosomal RNA". It matches the Rfam family "Bacterial small subunit ribosomal RNA", at positions 338 to 795 of the family's 1533-position model. The record is from RNAcentral.